GCACAAGCGGUGGAGCAUGUGGUUCAAUUCGAAGCAACGCGCAGAACCUUACCAACCCUUGACAUGUCCAGUAUGGGCUUCAGAGAUGAGACCCUUCAGUUCGGCUGGCUGGAACACAGGUGCUGCAUGGCUGUCGUCAGCUCGUGUCGUGAGAUGUUGGGUUAAGUCCCGCAACGAGCGCAACCCUCGCCCUUAGUUGCCAUCAUUUAGUUGGGCACUCUAGGGGGACUGCCGGUGAUAAGCCGCGAGGAAGGUGGGGAUGACGUCAAGUCCUCAUGGCCCUUACGGGUUGGGCUACACACGUGCUACAAUGGCGGUGACAAUGGGAUGCAAAGGGGUGACCCUGUGCAAAUCUCAAAAAGCCGUCUCAGUUCGGAUUGGGGUCUGCAACUCGACCCCAUGAAGUCGGAAUCGCUAGUAAUCGUGGAUCAGCAUGCCACGGUGAAUACGUUCCCGGGC
RNAcentral lists this ribosomal RNA (459 nucleotides) under uncultured bacterium. RNAcentral's name for it is "bacterial SSU rRNA". It matches the Rfam family "Bacterial small subunit ribosomal RNA", at positions 923 to 1379 of the family's 1533-position model. The record is from RNAcentral.